GAUGAACGCUGGCGGCGUGCCUAAUACAUGCCAGUCGAGCGAACAGACGAGGAGCUUGCUCCUCUGACGUUAGCGGCGGACGGGUGAGUAACACGUGGUUAACCUACCUAUACGACUGGGAUAACUUCGGGAAACCGGAGCUAAUACCGGAUAAUAUAUUGAACCGCAUGGUUCAAUAGUGAAAGACGGUUUUGUUUUCACUUAUAGCUUGAUCCGCGCCGCAUUAGCUAGUUGGUAAGGUAACGGCUUACCAAGGCAACGAUGCGUAGCCGACCUGAGAGGGUGAUCGGCCACACUGGAACUGAGACACGGUCCAGACUCCUACGGGAGGAAGCAGUAGGGAAUCUUCCGCAAGGGGCGAAAGCGUGACGGAGCAAAGCCGCGUGAGUGAUGAAGGUCUUCGGAUCGUAAAACUCUGUUAUUAGGGAAGAACAAAUGUGUAAGUAACUAUGCACGUAUUGACGGUACCUAAUCAGAAAGCCACGGCUAACUACGUG
RNAcentral lists this ribosomal RNA (497 nucleotides) under uncultured bacterium. RNAcentral describes it as "partial 16S ribosomal RNA". It matches the Rfam family "Bacterial small subunit ribosomal RNA", at positions 28 to 507 of the family's 1533-position model. The record is from RNAcentral.